CCAACAGCAAGACAAAGGAGGUAAACACCCACCUUACUCGCUCUUUACCCCUGGUGCUCCUUCACAUCCACCAGGGUGACAAAAAGCCUCAGCUCCUGGACAUAUGUUCUAGAAUGCCCACAGAGCACCCUGACAGGUGGGGGUGGCUGACAGUUUCUGGGCUCUGCUGAUGUUUCCAUCCCCCACAGUUCUUGGAGUCCACUUCUUCAGUGACUCCCACGAUCCCACGAGCUGUGAGCAGCAGCUCUUCAGUGGCAGCCACACCACUGCCCCAGGCCACUGAAAGCAAGGACUCUGGUACCAAUACUGUCACCAACAGCAGUUCCCUACUGCCUCAUUAAAAUGAGCAGGCAGAAGACAGCAGCUUCCUACAGGUCCACCUGGAGGAGCAGACCAGGAGGGAUUCACAGCGCAUCCUGGUAAGCCUGCUGGCAGGGCUGUCUCCUGCGUGAGCACAGGUGGGGGUGGCCGUCAGUUUCUGGCCUUUGCUGAUAUUCCAUCCCCCACAGUUGUCAGAAUCAACUUCUGAGGCCUCAGCCAUGGUGUGUAACAUCAGCCCAGCCUCCAGUCACAUCUCUUCUCAAAAGGCUAGGCCCAAGCCCAUGGCCACAAAACACAUGAAGAAAUCCAGGGCCAUCGGAUGCAUAAUGGGCAGAUGCUCACGGCCCCGGUCCAAGAAACAGGUGAAAGACAGCUGCCUCAUAAACAUCAGGCUAGAGCAGCAGAGUGCAAAGGAUGGCAAGACUGUCCUGGGCCCUGGAACAUCACUUGCUGAUGGAGGAGGAGCCAGGAGACUAUGAGCUGGGAGAAAUCAUCUCCCAACAGCACAAAAUGAAGAUUCCAAAGAACGCCAACGUCUUUUAUGGGAUGAAUCCCCAUGUCAGGAGAGACUUUGUCCUCAGGAA
This is a long non-coding RNA of Sciurus carolinensis (gray squirrel), 905 nucleotides long. RefSeq lists it as uncharacterized. The record is from RefSeq and is a predicted model, not a curated record. The transcript has 3 exons. NCBI's taxonomy places the organism in Eukaryota, Metazoa, Chordata, Mammalia, Rodentia, Sciuridae.